ACGGCUCAGUAACACGUGGCUAACUUACCCUCAAGACGGAUACACCCUCGGGAAACUGAGGUCAAUAUCCGAUAGGUGGGGAGGCCUGGAAAGGUCCCUCACCCAAAAGGAACUAGUGGCAUGCUUGCUAGUUUCGCUCGAGGAUAGGGCCGCGUCCGAUCAGGUCGCUGGUGAGGUAACGGCUCACCAAGCCUAUAACCGGUACGGGCCGUGAGAGCGGGAGCCCGGAGAUGGGCACUGAGAUAAGGGCCCAGGCCCUACGGGGCGCAGCAGGCGCGAAAACUUCGCAAUGCGCGAAAGCGUGACGAGGUCACCCCGAGUGCCGUCCGCUGAGGAUGGCUUUUGCCCGGUCUAACCAGCCAGGUGAAUAAGGGGAGGGCAAGUCUGGUGUCAGCCGCCGCGGUAAUACCAGCUCCUCGAGUGGUUGGGACGAUUAUUGGGUCUGAAGCGUCCGUAGCCGGUCGGAAAAGUUCCCCGUUAAAUCUGGCGAUCCAAUCGUUAGGCUGCGGGGAAUACUCUUCGACUUGGGGGCGAGGGAGGUCGGCGGUAGUCCCGGGGUAGGGGCGAAAUCCUAUAAUCCCGGGAGGACCACCAGUGGCGAAGGCGGCCGACUAAAACGCGCCCGACGGUGAGGGACGAAAGCUGGGGGAGCGAACGGGAUUAGAUACCCCGGUAGUCCCAGCUGUAAACGAUGCAGGCUAGGUGUUGGGACGGCUACGAGCUGUUCCAGUGCCGCAGGGAAGCCAUUAAGCCUGCCACCUGGGAAGUACGGUCGCAAGGCUGAAUUUCUAAAGAGGUUUCAGGAAAAUUUACUGGGCUUCUUAGAACAGUUUACUUAAAGGAAUUGGCGGGGGAGCAC
RNAcentral lists this ribosomal RNA (859 nucleotides) under uncultured archaeon. Its description in RNAcentral is "bacterial SSU rRNA". It matches the Rfam family "Archaeal small subunit ribosomal RNA", at positions 85 to 879 of the family's 1478-position model. The record is from RNAcentral.